Molecule: non-coding RNA, 84 nt
Filed under: unclassified sequences
Description: skipping-rope RNA
Rfam family: skipping-rope RNA
About the family: Firmicutes, Fusobacteria, AlphaProteobacteria, Spirochaetes.
Source: Rfam by way of RNAcentral
GAUUGUUGAGGUCGGAAAGGUUCCCGACACACUCCGCAUAUGUGGAGUACCUGAGAUGCAGGAUACACCGCCCUGCCAUCAAUC